Molecule: ribosomal RNA, 399 nt
Filed under: uncultured bacterium
Lineage: Bacteria
Description: bacterial SSU rRNA
Rfam family: Bacterial small subunit ribosomal RNA
Source: RNAcentral
AUUAAACGCUGGCGGCAUGCCUUACACAUGCAAGUCGAACGGCAGCACGGGGUGGUAACACUCUGGUGGCGAGUGGCGGACGGGUGAGUAAAGCAUCGGAACGUGCCCUGGAAUGGGGGAUAACGUAGCGAAAGUUACGCUAAUACCGCAUAUUCUGUGAGCAGGAAAGCAGGGGAUCGCAAGACCUUGCGUUCGAGGAGCGGCCGAUGUCGGAUUAGCUAGUUGGUGGGGUAAAGGCCUACCAAGGCGACGAUCCGUAGCGGGUCUGAGAGGAUGAUCCGCCACACUGGGACUGAGACACGGCCCAGACUCCUACGGGAGGCAGCAGUGGGGAAUUUUGGGACAAUGGGCGCAAGCCUGAUCCAGCCAUGCCGCGUGAGUGAAGAAGGCCUCGGUUGU